UACGUAGGGGGCAAGCGUUGCCCGGAGUUACUGGGCGUAAAGCGCCCGCAGGCGGUCCAUUAAGUUCAGGGUGACAGUUAUCAGCUUAACUGAUGAAGGACUUUGAAGACGCGCCGACUUGAGAGCGAGAGAGGGACAUGGAACUCCGGGUGGAGCAGUGAAAUGCGUAGAGAUCCGGAAGAACACCAAAGGCGAAGGCAGUAUCCUGGCUCGUUUCUGACGCUCAGGGGCGAAAGCGAGGGGAGCGAACGGG
Molecule: ribosomal RNA, 253 nt
Filed under: uncultured bacterium
Lineage: Bacteria
Description: partial 16S ribosomal RNA
Rfam family: Bacterial small subunit ribosomal RNA
Source: RNAcentral